RNAcentral lists this long non-coding RNA (1659 nucleotides) under Salvator merianae (Argentine black and white tegu). RNAcentral describes it as "lncRNA (ENSSMRG00000010038.1)". The record is from RNAcentral. Lineage: Eukaryota; Metazoa; Chordata; Lepidosauria; Squamata; Teiidae.
UAUUAUAUCUGGCGAAGGGAGACUCGACCUUCCUUUUCUUCUCAAGAGCUGCCUCGCGCUGCUUCGCCCGCAUCAGUCGCCGCAGCUCCUCCUGCCCCACUGGGGCCGUUCCUGGCCGCCGCUUCGCGGCCGAACUCGACGCCGCCAUUCUAGGCAAAGGGACUCAUGCAGCCCACGUCCCUUCCCCAGUUCCCUGUUCGUCCGCUGGAGCAGGACAGGACCACGGGAACUACNCCAUAGCGCUACGGCCGCGGAGAUUCUGCGGCAGCAAACUGCGCCGCUGCUGCAGCCCCCGACAACCGGAAACAGGAAGUAGAGGAGGGAGACACUUCCAAGUCCGUUCCGAUCUAGUGCCGUCCUUCCCACCACGCCAGAGAAAGAGCUUACGAAAAGGAAAUGACGAAAUGCACGCGAAUGGUUUGCAGCGAAACUGGAUGUUGGAUGGAGAGAAGCUAGGCUUCUAGUAUUGCAAAAGCGGGAGAGUCACCCUCUUUCUCCUCCUCCUCCUCAUCCCGCGGUGCAACUUUCUCUUUGCCAAUGUAUAGACUCUUGGUUGAAACUUCGGGAAGGUUUUUGGGUGUUUUUUUUAACCACACUCUGGUUUUAUAGGCCGUUUCUGCACUUGGCUUUAUUGUGGAUAAUAUCCCUGAAUAGGGACCUGCCAUCCACAUCCUAGUGCAAAGUAUGAAAGGUCUUACCCAGGGCCUACCACAGUCUGCAAUAACCUGCAGAUGGCAGGUCCCUUUUCUGAGAUAUAAUCCAGAAUAAGGCCCAGUGCAGAAAGGGCCAUAUAUUUAUGCCAAUACGCCCAAAAUUACUCACGAAAACGAUCGCACCAAACCAGGAGCCAAAUUUUAAAUUAUUUUUUUGGAUCAAGGAGUUCUACUGUAGUUCAUAAAAGAAACUUCAACAAAUUCUGCCUGAAACAUCUAAAGCCUGUUUGCACGCAGAAGUAUUCCUNGAUUAAUAUGCAUUUCCGAAGUCGUAGUGCCGGUUCCUGUCGCCCGGAUAGCCUAAAGGGAAAGAAUUUACUCAGCUAAUGGGAAAAGUUAGCACCUCUCCCUCAGAUGCUCCCGCAGCUGCAAGACACUUAAAGGAUCAGGCUGAUUUACCAACCUAAAUAGGCAAGAAAAGCCAGCACUAAACCACUCAAAUUCAACCCCAGUCAAGCGAAAAGUUCCUAACCCUUUAAAAAUUACCAAGCAGCGUCGGAGCAUUCUAUAGUCUGCUACAAAGUAGCUAACACUGCUUGAGUGACAGAAUAAUUACAGACUCUGUACUUCCAUCUNUGCAAAGAGCUGUUUUACUGCUGGGCUUCUGCUUUUUUAAUNGAUUCCAAUGGUGGAUCCUUCUUAUCCUUAUGUAUUGGAAACUCCAGACAGUUUGGCUCCCCUCCUGUAGGAACUCAUACCAGCCAGCUGCAUCGUUAAACUACCUCGUUCAUUAACGACCCCAAAGCUGUAAGAACUGGUAGUUCUAAAGCAAUCUGCUGUGUAUUAUGAGGAACCUAAAUUGUGCUACAAUUUAAAAUUGNAGGAAUGACAAAAGCACAUAACUUUAUUGAAUGUCUCCAGAUUCAUAAGCCACAGGGCAAUUAUGAAACGGUACAAGGAGAUUUGCCUCAAUAAAAGCUGUGGAAACCAGGAAGUCUUUUGCUUU